This 359-nucleotide ribosomal RNA is filed under the name Phytopythium litorale. RNAcentral describes it as "eukaryotic LSU rRNA". The stretch from base 60 to 207 matches the Rfam family "5.8S ribosomal RNA". Lineage: Eukaryota; Oomycota; Peronosporomycetes; Pythiales; Pythiaceae. The record is from RNAcentral.
UUUUUUGAAUGAAAAAUGAUCAUACUGUGGGGACGAAAGUCUCGCUUUUAACUAAUAGCAACUUUCAGCAGUGGAGUCUAGGCUCGCACAUCGAUAAGAACGCUGCGAACUGCGAUACUAAUGCGAUUGCAGGAUCAUGAGUCAUCAAAUUUUGAACGCAUAUUGCACUUUCGGGUUCUGCCUGGAAGUAUGUCUGUAUCAGGUCCGUACACUAAAUGCUUCUUGCGUCGUGUAGUCGUCGCUGGGAAUGCGCAGAUGUGAGGUUUUGUCUUGCUCUGGCUCGAAUUCGUUGGGCAGGAGCAAGUCCCUUUAAAGUCGACGUGUUUUCUCUCUGCGGUGUGCUGUUCGGCGCUGGCGGC